UACGUAGGUGGCAAGCGUUGUCCGGAUUUACUGGGCGUAAAGAGCGUGUAGGCGGCUAGGUAGGUCCGCUGUGAAAACUCGAGGCUCAACCUCGAGCUGUCGGUGGAAACCAUCUAGCUAGAGUCCGGAAGAGGAGAGUGGAAUUCCCGGUGUAGCGGUGAAAUGCGCAGAUAUCGGGAAGAACACCCGUGGCGAAGGCGGCUCUCUGGGACGGUACUGACGCUGAGACGCGAAAGCGUGGGGAGCAAACAGG
This 253-nucleotide ribosomal RNA is filed under the name uncultured bacterium. RNAcentral's name for it is "partial 16S ribosomal RNA". It matches the Rfam family "Bacterial small subunit ribosomal RNA", at positions 524 to 776 of the family's 1533-position model. The record is from RNAcentral.